AAUAGCUUGCUUUUUCUAGGCGUCAACCGGCGCACGGGUGAGUAACGCGUAUCCAACCUGCCCAUCACUUGGGGAUAACCUUGCGAAAGUAAGACUAAUACCCAAUGACGUCUCUAGAAGACAUCUGAAGGAGAUUAAAGAUUUAUCGGUGAUGGAUGGGGAUGCGUCUGAUUAGCUUGUUGGCGGGGUAACGGCCCACCAAGGCGACGAUCAGUAGGGGUUCUGAGAGGAAGGUCCCCACAUUGGAACUGAGACACGGUCCAAACUCCUACGGGAGGCAGCAGUGAGGAAUAUUGGUCAAUGGACGAGAGUCUGAACCAGCCAAGUAGCGUGCAGGAAGACGGCCCUAUGGGUUGUAAACUGCUUUUAUAAGGGAAUAGAGUGAGUCUCGUGAGACUUUUUGCAUGUACCUUAUGAAUAAGGACCGGCUAAUUCCGUGCCAGCAGCCGCGGUAAUACGGAAGGUCCGGGCGUUAUCCGGAUUUAUUGGGUUUAAAGGGAGCGUAGGCCGGAGAUUAAGCGUGUUGUGAAAUGUAGGCGCUCAACGUCUGCACUGCAGCGCGAACUGGUUUCCUUGAGUACGCACAAAGUGGGCGGAAUUCGUGGUGUAGCGGUGAAAUGCUUAGAUAUCACGAAGAACUCCGAUUGCGAAGGCAGCUCACUGGAGCGCAACUGACGCUGAAGCUCGAAAGUGCGGGUAUCGAACAGGAUUAGAUAC
RNAcentral lists this ribosomal RNA (717 nucleotides) under uncultured bacterium. Its description in RNAcentral is "bacterial SSU rRNA". It matches the Rfam family "Bacterial small subunit ribosomal RNA", at positions 69 to 785 of the family's 1533-position model. The record is from RNAcentral. RNAcentral also lists the same sequence under 1 other name.